GGGCCUCUCACAAGGCUGCAGUCAAGCUGUUGUCUGGUUCUUCUUCUCAAGGCUCAAUGGGGGCUGGAGGAUCUCGUCCACACUCACCCAUAUGGCUGCUUUCAGGCCUCACUUCCUCACUGGCUGUUGGGCACCUUGCCAUGUGGCCUCUUCAUAGGCUGCCUGAGUGUCCUUUUCAAAUGGCAAGUGGCUUUUUCCAGAACAGCAUAUCCAAGAGAGAAAGAGAAAAGAAAAGAAGAGACAAGGAGAACCCACUGUAGAGGCUUCAGUCUUGUAAAACCUAACCUCGGAAGUGACACAUACCAUCCUUUCUGCCAUCACUGGUCAGUUUAGACCAGCUGUGGUUCACUGCAGGCAAGGGCUCCAUGAGGGUGUGAACACGAGGAGGUGGGACCGCUGUGCGGCGCCCUCGGAAGCUGCCUCCCUUAGACAACAAGGACACAGUCCGUGCUCGCUGCUGGAUGUAGAGGGUAAAGUCCCAGGAGCAACAGCUCCAGGAAAUCACAGCGGGUGGGGGGCGGCAUUCCCCAAAAAGGUCAUGCAGCGCAAACCGAAAGUACACAUCUGCCACAAAUAAAUACUGCAAUCUACUUCCUCAUCGGCCGACUCAAGGAGGGCUGUGUGGGCCAGGCUGAACCUCCAUGAAGGCAUCCUUCCUCUACCCAGGUGUCCAUACAUUCCUGCAGAAGAGCAGCCCAGUGCCCAGAGUCCUGCGGUUUUCUACAAGCCUGUUUGAGGCUGGAGUGCAGUGGUACGAUCUUGGCUCACUACAGCCUCUGCUCCCCAGGUUCAAGCACUUCUUCUGCAUCAUUCUCCUGAGUAGCUGCGAUUAUAGGUGAAGGAAACGGAGACUGAAGAAGUAAAAGAACCACCAGGAAGCGGCAGAACGGAAAUCAAAUCCAAGUACAGACGUCCAAGGCACUCUUUUGGACGUCUGUUGAGUUGUCCAAAAGACGCUCCGUUUUCUCAGCAGCUACUGUGCCUGGACCUACAUUCUGUUAAAGCAACGGAUUACUUUAGGAAUCAAAUCUCUGGUUAAUUCAGUGAGAGGGGAUCGUCCUGCAAACAUUCCAAAUAAACCCUCCUUAUGCUGCGAGAAGUCACGGAAUUCUUAUUUCUGGAUGGCUAGCUCAGUGAUUCAGCCUCACUAAUAAGCCCUGGGGGGAAAAAUACAUGUUUGUGUCCUAACUGAACUCUGCCUUCCCAUCACGCAAGAGCACUGUUUCGGCUCGAGUAAGGAGAGAAAAUUCUCAACAGAUGGCAGCCUCUGAACACUGGAAAGGGUUAUCCCUGGCCCACUUAUACCUACUGGGGCCACGCAUUCCAGGUGCGAAUGAAUGGACUGGAUCAAGUAGAGUGCACAUGUCUUUCACUCACUCUUUGAGCAUACAGCCAGUUCCAGCCACUGUACUAGAAGAGGCAAAGCGUAAUCAUCACUGACUGCAGAAGACAGUAAUGAAAUCCAGAGAUGUAUAACCUGAAUUGGAUCAUGGCGAAACAUCAUCCGAAGCCAAAUUAAUGGGCGUUUUACAAAAUCAGUUGCUUGGACUCUUCACAGGUGUCAAGCUCAUGAACGUCACUGAAAGACAGAGGAGCUGUUUCAUGUUGGAAGAUGCUAAGGUAACAUGACAAGUAACUGCGAUGCAGGUCUCUGUAUUGGGUCCUUUGGCAACGAAAAGUGUUGUUGGGACAACUCAUGAAACUUGACUGGGGUCUGAAGAUGAGGUAGCAGGAACGUACCAGACUCAACUUUCCUAUCCUGAUGGUUGAAUUGUGGUUAUGUAGGAGAAUGUCCUUGUUUAUAGAACUUCCAAACUUAAAUAUUUAAGGGUAAUGAGGCAUCACGUGGGUGUCUUACACUCUAAUUGUUCAGGGCAGACAUUCUUUGUGUUCUUUUGCAAAUUUUCAUGAAGUUUGAGGUUAUUUCAAAUAAGAAAGAGUGAUGGGGAGGGAACAGAGUGAUGGGGGAGAGGGAAGGCUUCUCUAAUAAGGUGACAUUUGACCAAGACCUGAAUGAAGUGAAGGAGCAAGUCACUGAGUAUCUGGAGGAAGAACACUCCGGGCAGAGGGAGCAGAAUGGCACCAGAUCUGUGAGGAUGACAUAUGCCUGAAGUGUUUUGAGAAAUAGCCAGGAGACUGGGGGCUCAUGCAGAGACACGAAUGAGAAAGUGGAGCAGGUGAGGUCAGGGAGGUAAUAGGGACCAAACCAAGUUCCAGCAAGGAUGUUUGGUUUUGUUCUCUGUGAUGGGAGUCAUUGGAGGGUUGGCCAGAGGAGAGACAUGACAGGACUUGUAUUUUACAAGGAUCACUGUGGCUGCUGUGUGGAAAAUAGAUGGCAGAGAGGCAGGGGUGGAAGCAAGGACACCAGUUGGAAGACUAUGGAAAUAAUUCACUUUCUGGUGGAUAGCAGGGCUACAGAAACCUACAGAAAGGCUGUGAAGAGCCACUGCCAGCCCACAGCACAGAGCACUGGGCUCUGCCCCAGCGGCAGUGAUGCCAUCUGACCACUUCUGCAUCCUAUGCCCGUCUUCCCCUGCCUCGCAAGAGGUGUCCGUCACAGAAGCUGCUCAUGGAAGGGCAGCUCUGAUCAUGACUUUCUAGGAAGGUUGAAGAGCCAGCUGCUUGCAUUGUUAAUCAAAUUUUUCUUUAUUUGGUGCAAUGCUAAAGUGUCUUUUUAAAUGAGUGAUCAUAGAAUCAAAGACAAGCUCAGGGAGAAACAUUGAAACCGUCAGAUCUUGUCUUACUGCCUGGAGCUGCCUGGCGACUUCAGCGCUUUUGUCAUGUGCGAAGUUUGCCUUGUCAAGGUCCUCGAAUGAAAGGGUCUUGAGGUUUUGUCUGAUCCCACCCAACAACGAAGAAAAAAUUCGGGCAUUGACCUCUGAUUUUUGGACCCAGAGGGACCUUGGUGAAAAAUGAUUCCAGUCCCCUCUUUUCCUUGAUCCAUCAGAUGAGUGAUAAUUUAAAAUUUAGUUGGUUUUGUUUUGCUCCAAACGUAUCCUCAUGAAGCUCCAAUGAUGGAAAGAUGUGGACUUAAGUGCUCGGAAUUGUGUUCAAUUUUCUUCUUGGAACCUCCAGUAAGAGUCUUAAGGAUAUAUCUAAAAGACAAUUUCAUAUCUUUUCUAUGUUUGGACAAGAAUGAUGCUUUAAUCUAUUAUAUGAUUCUUUUCAAACAUAAAUAUAUGCUUAUGGUAUGCUAUGUAAAACACACAUUUUAAAAAUCCAAAAGCAGGCUUACACUUGAAGAGCAACGUUUAAAAUUGUUUCUUUCCUGACUUUAAUAAACGCAUAUCUAUUGUAAAGUGCAUUUCCAUUGUCAUUCUAAGCCUCUGAGAUAGUUAAUCCCCAGUGUACAAAGCAGAGACCCAGCUUGGUUAGAGGAUGAUUUGCUUUAGGUCGGAGACAAAGCCGGUGACCUUGGCAAUGAAGCAGCUAGUUAGAGUUGAGUGAUUUCCAGGUCAGCACACAAGAGCUCUGAUCACUGAUUUUGUUGGCUUGAUAGUGACUGAACUGGUUCUCAUUCAGCCCAUAGUGCCUGUUCUUAAAUUCACUGAGAAGGGUGGUUUAUGGUUUAUGUUCAAAUUUUGUUUGAAGAGAUUUAUACUAUUUCGAGGGUAGAGAUAAAAAUAUGAUCUCCUUCCUUAACUUUCAGGAUUAUAACUCUAGGGAAAAUGAAGCAUCGUUUAAUUCUAAAAACACAACAAAAAAUACAUAAGCUUUAAUUUAAUAGCAUUGCCAUGAAUUUCAUCUUUCAAACAAUUUACAAAAGAUGUUAGGCAUUGCUAUGGUCUUUAUGUGGUCUAUGUGUGACCCUCAAAGUUCAUAUGUUGAAACUUAAUCAUCGAUGAAAUAGUAAUAAGAGAUGGGGCCUCUAGGAAGUGAUUAAAUCAUGAAUAGAUUAGUGCUUUGAUAAAAAGAAAUCGAAGGGAACAUUCUAGUAGUGCCUUUUUGCCCUUUUCACCCCUUCCACCAUGUGAGGAUACAGCAAGAGGUCCCACACCAGACACCAGUUGCAAGUGCCUUGAUCUUGGACCCUCCAGUCUUCAGAAACAAAUUUUUCUUCUUAUGAAUUAUCCAGUCUCAGAUAUUUGAUUAUGGCAGCACAAAUAGUUCAAGACAGGCAUGCUGUAAUGUUGUGAUAUGUCAAAAUUGGAGAAGCUCUGUCAAAAAUUACAGGGAUUUCUUGUGGCUAUAACCUAUGUUUGCGUCUUAUUUCCUGAAACCAUUCAUAGAUCUACUUACUUGGAUCAGAUACUUCCAAUGCAUUCUGUCACCUUAAUAGACUGAAUAAGAAAAAUAGAAAUAUCUGGGUCUUAAGCCAGGCACGGUGACUCAAGCCUGUAAUCCCAGCACUUUGGGAGGCCGAGGCGGGUGGAUCACGAGGUCAAGAGAUCGAGACCAUCCUGGUCAACAUGGUGAAACCC
This is a non-coding RNA of Callithrix jacchus (white-tufted-ear marmoset), 4421 nucleotides long. NCBI's taxonomy places the organism in Eukaryota, Metazoa, Chordata, Mammalia, Primates, Cebidae. The record is from RefSeq and is a predicted model, not a curated record.